Long non-coding RNA from Alosa sapidissima (American shad), 1282 nucleotides. RefSeq lists it as uncharacterized. NCBI's taxonomy places the organism in Eukaryota, Metazoa, Chordata, Actinopteri, Clupeiformes, Clupeidae. The record is from RefSeq and is a predicted model, not a curated record. The transcript is spliced from 3 exons.
GUUUACAAGCUAGCAAAACGGUUAGCAUAAGUUUGGCAGACAAUGUGGAUGUUACAAGGAACCGAACUAAAGAUGCUGGGAACGACUGGAGGCAAAAGGACAUCUUGACAACCCUAACUCAGCUGCAACAGCAGAACCAGCCCCUCUGCGGCUUAAGGACAACUUCAGCUUGAUAGAAAAAUGGGGGGCAGUUACCUUUUGGGUCUAGUGUUUCCCUGUCCCUUAUAUGCCUUGUGAAUCACUGUUUUAAAUGGGAGAUGCCGACCACAGUCUUUGUUUGUUGCUUCCGAUAGUAUUUUGAAAUAGCCUCUUAUAUAGUUAUAUUGGGCAAAAUGUCCUGCGUGAGAGUGUGAUUAGUAAAUGAUAUACCCAUGGCUGCAUUACAUUUGUGCUGCACCUCAAGCCUUGUCCAUACAGCCACCAGCUUGUUCAACGCAUUUCUUGUCAGGCCAUUAUUCCUAGUCUACCUGUUCAAGUGGAAGCAUUUGAUGGGUUAACUUACUUUAUAUGUAGUAGUACUCUGUGUGCUACUUUGUGUGUUUUGUUGGAAGGUCUGUGGAAAAUUGUGUUUAUAAGGCUUAGCUUGACCUUGGACCAUGACGAGUUUUAGGGUGUGCAAGUGAGUUUAUGCUGUGUAGUCAUCUUUUUUUGGUGGUCUUGGUCCUUUGUAAAAUAGAAACUUUUUUAUUUUGCCCUCUGUGUGGGGUUGUUGAGUGGCCAGUAGCUGUCAUCUGAAAUGGAAAACCCUCACAACAGCAUACAAGGAUACAAGGAAGUUUAUUGUCACAUGCAUAUAGUUACUGGAAGUAAGAAAUGCAGUGAAAUUAUGUCUGGUGUCAGCCUAUUUGAUCACCCAGUGCAUUGGUGUUUUGCAGAACUUGCAUAGAAUUUGUGACAUGAUUGACAUAAAGGUUUUUUGCAUGUAUUCAACAUUAGUCGGAGUUCUAAAAUUCAAGAUCAAUGACUGUUUUGAGGUGACUGAAACAAAGUGCAAUCAAGAUUCCUGUUAGGGAAAAAUAAUCUUCAUGGCCAUUCUUCAUGACAUUGCAGUAUGUUGUCAUUUGUACUCUCAUCAGAGUAUUAUCAUUGCAAUUUGUCAUACAGACACAAUAUUUUUUUACUGUAAUUAACUUCUCUGUGUUUGAUUACAAAAUGAGUAUUGUGGAGUUUUUGGGAGUAAUCCUAACAGCUAAUGGGUACCUGGGUAAUCCUAACGGCUAAUGUUAUUUUACACAGUAAAAUCCGCAUUUGAAAGCCUGGUCACCAGUUGCCAGUUUGUAUG